RNAcentral lists this ribosomal RNA (253 nucleotides) under uncultured bacterium. Its description in RNAcentral is "partial 16S ribosomal RNA". It matches the Rfam family "Bacterial small subunit ribosomal RNA", at positions 524 to 776 of the family's 1533-position model. The record is from RNAcentral.
UACGUAGGUGGCAAGCGUUGUCCGGAAUUAUUGGGCGUAAAGCGCGCGCAGGUGGUUUCUUAAGUCUGAUGUGAAAGCCCACGGCUCAACCGUGGAGGGUCAUUGGAAACUGGGGAACUUGAGUGCAGAAGAGGAAAGUGGAAUUCCAAGCGUAGCGGUGAAAUGCGUAGAGAUUUGGAGGAACACCAGUGGCGAAGGCGACUUUCUGGCCUGUUCUUGACGCUGAGGCGCGAAAGCUAGGGGAGCAAACGGG